Molecule: ribosomal RNA, 965 nt
Filed under: Sympycnus pulicarius
Lineage: Eukaryota; Metazoa; Arthropoda; Insecta; Diptera; Dolichopodidae
Description: partial 16S ribosomal RNA
Rfam family: Archaeal large subunit ribosomal RNA (bases 712-871)
Source: RNAcentral
GAUUUAUUAAUUUAUUUUGUUAAAUUAAUAAUUUAUAAUAAAAAUAUUUAAUGGGAUGAGCUGUUAAAUAAAUUUUUAAAAAUUUAUAUUAUUUUUAAAUAUAAAUAAGCUUAGAAUUAGCAAUUUUUAAUAAAUUUGUUAUAAUUUAUAUUUUAAAGAAUAUUAUUUAUUUUAUUUUAAAUUUUUAUUAAAAUUUUAAAUUUAAUAUAAAAAUUUAAUAAAUAAUGAUAAAAUUAGUAUAAUUUAAAGUUAAGAUAAAUUAAUUUGUUAGGUUUUUAUAAGGAACUCGGCAAAAAUUAUAUUCGCCUGUUUAACAAAAACAUGUCUUUUUGAAUCUAUAUAUAAAGUCUAAUCUGCCCAUUGAUAUUUAUUUAACGGCCGCAGUAUUUUAACUGUGCAAAGGUAGCAUAGUCAUUAGUCUUUUAAUUGAAGGCUUGUAUGAAUGAUUGGACGAGAUAUAAGCUGUCUCAUAAAAAUUUAUUAUUGAAUUUAAUUUUUUAGUUAAAAAGCUAAAAUAAUUUUAAAAGACGAGAAGACCCUAUAGAUCUUUAUAUUUAAAUUUAUUAUUAUUUUUUGGUUUAAUUUUAUAAUAAUAAAAUAAAGUAUUUUGUUGGGGUGACAUUGAAAUUUAACAAACUUUCAAAAUUUAAAACCAUUAAUAUAUGAAUUGUUGAUCCUUUAUUAUUGAUUAAAAAUUUAAGUUACCUUAGGGAUAACAGCGUAAUUAUUUUGGAGAGUUCUUAUCGAUAAAAUAGAUUGCGACCUCGAUGUUGGAUUAAGAUUAAUUUUGGGUGUAGUAGUUCAAUAAAUUAAGUCUGUUCGACUUUUAAUUUCUUACAUGAUCUGAGUUCAAACCGGUGUGAGCCAGGUUGGUUUCUAUCUUUAAAUAAGUGUAAUAUUUUAGUACGAAAGGACCAAAUAUUAAAAAAAUAAUUUUUUUAAAAUAAUUGAAUAAUAUUAAUUUA